GUGCCAGCCGCGCGGUCAUACGGCGGAUGCAAGCGUUGUCCGGAAUCACUGGGCGUAAAGGGUGCGCAGGCGGGGCAGCAAGUCGGAGGUGAAAGCCCAUGGCCCAACCAUGGAAGUGCCUUCGAAACUGUUGCUCUUGAGUCCCGGAGAGGCUGUCGGAAUUCGUGGUGUAGCGGUGAAAUGCGUAGAUAUCACGAGGAACACCAGAGGCGAAAGCGGACAGCUGGACGGGUACUGACGCUCAGGCACGAAAGCGGGGGGAGCAAACAGGAUUAGAAACCCGGGUAGUCC
RNAcentral lists this ribosomal RNA (291 nucleotides) under uncultured bacterium. RNAcentral's name for it is "partial 16S ribosomal RNA". It matches the Rfam family "Bacterial small subunit ribosomal RNA", at positions 505 to 796 of the family's 1533-position model. The record is from RNAcentral.